RNAcentral lists this ribosomal RNA (583 nucleotides) under uncultured Microbotryum. Its description in RNAcentral is "eukaryotic LSU rRNA". The stretch from base 128 to 281 matches the Rfam family "5.8S ribosomal RNA". Lineage: Eukaryota; Fungi; Basidiomycota; Microbotryomycetes; Microbotryales; Microbotryaceae. The record is from RNAcentral.
GCGCACUUUUUAAUCCAUAUCCCCUUGUGUGCAAUGUCAGUUGCUCUCUUUUUUGAGAAUGACCAAACAUCAACUUAAAUUUGACUCUUUGUCUGAAAAAUAUUAUGAAUAAAAUAAUUCAAAAUACAACUUUCAACAACGGAUCUCUUGGCUCUCGCAUCGAUGAAGAACGCAGCGAAAUGCGAUACGGAAUGUGAAUUGCAGAAUUCAGUGAAUCAUCGAAUCUUUGAACGCAUCUUGCGCUCGCUGGUAUUCCGGCGAGCAUGUCUGUUUGAGUGUCGUGAACUCUUCAACCUCUAAUUUUUCUUUAUUGAGAUUUUAGAAAGGCUUGGAUUUUGAAUGCUGCUGAAUUUGUUUAUGCAAAUUGUUAGCUCGUUCGUAAUACAUUAGCAUCCUAAUCUUCGAGAUCAGAUUGACUCGGCGUAAUAGACUAUUCGCUGAGGAUUAUGUUUUUUAUUAAGCAUAAACUGAACUUGGAAAAUUGAAAGCUUCUAAAACGGACUAUUAGCCAAAAAACCUAAGAUGAGACCUCAAAUCAGAUAGGAUUACCCGCUGAACUUAAGCAUAUCAAUAAGCGGAGGAA